GAUCAUGGCUCAGGACGAACGCUGGCGGCGUGCCUAACACAUGCAAGUCGAACGGAACUGUUUUGAAAGAUUUCUUCGGAAUGAAUUUGAUUUAGUUUAGUGGCGGACGGGUGAGUAACGCGUGAGUAACCUGCCUUCAAGAGGGGGAUAACAUUCUGAAAAGAAUGCUAAUACCGCAUGACAUAUCGGAACCACAUGAUUUUGAUAUCAAAGAUUUUAUCGCUUGAAGAUGGACUCGCGUCCG
This 244-nucleotide ribosomal RNA is filed under the name uncultured bacterium. RNAcentral describes it as "partial 16S ribosomal RNA". It matches the Rfam family "Bacterial small subunit ribosomal RNA", at positions 15 to 239 of the family's 1533-position model. The record is from RNAcentral.